GACGAACGCUGGCGGCGUGCUUAACACAUGCAAGUCGUACGGUAAGGCCCUUUCGGGGGUACACGAGUGGCGAACGGGUGAGUAACACGUGAGUAACCUGCCCACAACUUUGGGAUAACGCUAGGAAACUGGUGCUAAUACUGGAUAUGUGCUCCUGCUGCAUGGUGGGGGUUGGAAAGCUCCGGCGGUUGUGGAUGGACUCGCGGCCUAUCAGCUUGUUGGUGGGGUAGUGGCCUACCAAGGCGGCGACGGGCAGCCGGCCUGAGAGGGUGACCGGCCACAUUGGGACUGAGAUACGGCCCAGACUCCUACGGGAGGCAGCAGUGGGGAAUAUUGCACAAGGGGCGCAAGCCUGAUGCAGCAACGCCGCGUGCGGGAUGACGGCCUUCGGGUUGUAAACCGCUUUCAGCAGGGACGAAGCUUUUUGUGACGGUACCUGCAGAAGAAGCACCGGCUAACUACGUG
RNAcentral lists this ribosomal RNA (465 nucleotides) under uncultured bacterium. Its description in RNAcentral is "partial 16S ribosomal RNA". It matches the Rfam family "Bacterial small subunit ribosomal RNA", at positions 28 to 507 of the family's 1533-position model. The record is from RNAcentral.